UAUUCUGGCCACAGGAGGGCGGAGCGAGUUCGGUUGCACUAACACCGGUACAUAGGCACAGCCCGGCGUGUCCUUGGACUUAGAGAGCGGGACGUCCGGCUGCCAGCUCGGGACUUUGGUACUGUCAGCAACCAAAGAGCGAAUUAAAUAUGGGUGAUGUUGAGAAAGGCAAGAAGAUUUUUGUUCAGAAGUGUGCCCAGUGCCAUACUGUGGAAAAAGGAGGCAAGCACAAGACUGGGCCAAAUCUCCA
Otolemur garnettii (small-eared galago) is the source of this 250-nucleotide long non-coding RNA. RefSeq lists it as uncharacterized. NCBI's taxonomy places the organism in Eukaryota, Metazoa, Chordata, Mammalia, Primates, Galagidae. The record is from RefSeq and is a predicted model, not a curated record. The transcript has 2 exons.